UGCCUUUAGCCAUUAUUUAAGGUUAAACCUGCUCAAUGAGUUAGAUUAAAUAGCCGCAGUACAUUGACUGUGCAAAGGUAGCAUAAUCAAUUGGCUUAUAAUUGAAGUCUAGUAUGAAUGGGAAUCCGGGGAAUAGCUUUCUCAAUUAAGAUUAUAUAAAUUACUAAAUGAGUGAAAAGUCUCAUAGUAAGAAGAAAGACGAGAAGACCCUAGAAAUUUUGUUAAAUAUAUAUACUAUAUAUUAUUUUGUUGGGGCGACAUGGUAACAUAUAACUUACUAUACUAUACAAGCUACUAAUAAGUUGUGAGAAUAAAUUACUCUAGGGAUAACAGCAUUAUUCAUAGUGAGUUUAUGACCUCGAUGUUGGACUAGGAAAUAAUUUCUUUAGAAGAUAAAUUAAUAGGCUCUGUUCGAGCUUUGUAUUCCUAC
This 430-nucleotide ribosomal RNA is filed under the name Trochulus clandestinus. RNAcentral describes it as "partial large subunit ribosomal RNA". The record is from RNAcentral. Lineage: Eukaryota; Metazoa; Mollusca; Gastropoda; Stylommatophora; Hygromiidae.